GGUGGUAAUGCCGGAUGUUCCACAUGAGCGCAUGCGAGUGUGGGAAAGGCUUUUUGCGGCAUGGGAUGGGGUCGCGUCCUAUCAGCUUGUUGGUGGGGUAACGGCCUACCAAGGCGUUGACGGGUAGCCGGCCUGAGAGGGCGACCGGCCACAUUGGGACUGAGAUACGGCCCAGACUCCUACGGGAGGCAGCAGUGGGGAAUAUUGCACAAUGGGCGCAAGCCUGAUGCAGCGACGCCGCGUGCGGGAUGGAGGCCUUCGGGUUGUAAACCGCUUUUGUUCAAGGGCAAGGCACGGUCUUUGGCCGUGUUGAGUGGAUUGUUCGAAUAAGCACCGGCUAACUACGUGCCAGCAGCCGCGGUAAUACGUAGGGUGCAAGCGUUAUCCGGAUUUAUUGGGCGUAAAGGGCUCGUAGGCGGUUCGUCGCGUCCGGUGUGAAAGUCCAUCGCUUAACGGUGGAUCCGCGCCGGGUACGGG
This 477-nucleotide ribosomal RNA is filed under the name uncultured bacterium. RNAcentral describes it as "bacterial SSU rRNA". It matches the Rfam family "Bacterial small subunit ribosomal RNA", at positions 159 to 636 of the family's 1533-position model. The record is from RNAcentral.